CAAUGGCGUAUAUUUAAGUUGCUGCAGUUAAAAAGCUCGUAGUUGGAUUUCGGGUGGGAAUGGCCGGUCCGCCGUUUCGGUGUGCACUUGCUACGCCCACCUUGCUGCCGGGGACGUGCUCUUGAGUUCACGCUCGGGACACGGAGUCGGCGAGGUUACUUUGAGUAAAUUAGAGUGUUCAAAGCAGGCCUACGCUCUGAAUACAUUAGCAUGGAAUAACACGAUAGGACUCUGGCCUAUCUUGUUGGUCUGUAGGACCGGAGUAAUGAUUAAGAGGGACAGUCGGGGGCAUUCGUAUUUCAUUGUCAGAGGUGAAAUUCUUGGAUUUAUGAAAGACGAACUACUGCGAAAGCAUUUACCAAGGAUGUUUUCAUUGA
Molecule: ribosomal RNA, 377 nt
Filed under: uncultured eukaryote
Lineage: Eukaryota
Description: partial 18S ribosomal RNA
Rfam family: Eukaryotic small subunit ribosomal RNA
Source: RNAcentral